UACGUAGGUGACAAGCGUUAUCCGGAAUUACUGGGCGUAAAGCGCACGCAGGCGGCGCAUUAAGUCUGACGUGAAAUCUCCUGGCUUAACUCGGAGCGGCCAAGUGAUACUGUCGUGCUAGAGUGCGGAAGGGGCAACUGGAAUUCUCGGUGUAGCGGUGAAAUGCGUAGAGAUGGGGGAGAACACUCGUGGCGAAGGCGGCCAGCUGGACCAGUACUGACGCUGAGACGCGAAAGCGUGGGGAGCAAACAGG
Molecule: ribosomal RNA, 253 nt
Filed under: uncultured bacterium
Lineage: Bacteria
Description: partial 16S ribosomal RNA
Rfam family: Bacterial small subunit ribosomal RNA
Source: RNAcentral